Molecule: ribosomal RNA, 215 nt
Filed under: Halomonas sp. 15WGF
Lineage: Bacteria; Pseudomonadati; Pseudomonadota; Gammaproteobacteria; Oceanospirillales; Halomonadaceae
Description: partial 23S ribosomal RNA
Rfam family: Bacterial large subunit ribosomal RNA
Source: RNAcentral
GUGGCAUUGCCGGGUAGCUAUGGUCGGACGGGAUAACCGCUGAAAGCAUCUAAGCGGGAAGCCCCCUUCAAGAUGAGACAUCCCUGAGACCUCGAGUCUCCUAAAGGGCCCAGCGAGACCAGCUGGUUGAUAGGCACGGUGUGGAAGCGCUGCAAGGCGUUGAGCUAACGUGUACUAAUGGCCCGUGAGGCUUGACCCUAUAACACCCAAGGGGU